GUCUCAGUGGCGCAGUGGUUAGCGCAUGAGCCCCGGUAAGGCCGAGACGCGGGUUUGAAUCACACCUGAGAUG
Molecule: transfer RNA, 73 nt
Filed under: Nippostrongylus brasiliensis
Lineage: Eukaryota; Metazoa; Nematoda; Chromadorea; Rhabditida; Heligmosomidae
Rfam family: tRNA
About the family: Transfer RNA (tRNA) molecules are approximately 80 nucleotides in length. Their secondary structure includes four short double-helical elements and three loops (D, anti-codon, and T loops).
Source: Rfam by way of RNAcentral